AUUGAACGCUGGCGGCAGGCCUAACACAUGCAAGUCGAACGGUAACAGAAAGCAGCUUGCUGCUUUGCUGACGAGUGGCGGACGGGUGAGUAAUGUCUGGGAAACUGCCUGAUGGAGGGGGAUAACUACUGGAAACGGUAGCUAAUACCGCAUAACGUCGCAAGACCAAAGAGGGGGACCUUCGGGCCUCUUGCCAUCGGAUUGGCCCAGAUGGGAUUAGCUUGUUGGUGGGGUAACGGCUCACCAAGGCGACGAUCCCUAGCUGGUCUGAGAGGAUGACCAGCCACACUGGAACUGAGACACGGUCCAGACUCCUACGGGAGGCAGCAGUGGGGAAUAUUGCACAAUGGGCGCAAGCCUGAUGCAGCCAUGCCGCGUGUAUGAAGAAGGCCUUCGGGUUGUAAAGUACUUUCAGCGGGGAGGAAGGGAGUAAAGUUAAUACCUUUGCUCAUUGACGUUACCCGCAGAAGAAGCACCGGCUAACUCCGUG
This 490-nucleotide ribosomal RNA is filed under the name uncultured bacterium. RNAcentral's name for it is "partial 16S ribosomal RNA". It matches the Rfam family "Bacterial small subunit ribosomal RNA", at positions 30 to 507 of the family's 1533-position model. The record is from RNAcentral.